GAUGAACGCUGGCGGCGUGCCUAAUACAUGCAAGUCGAGCGAACAGACGAGGAGCUUGCUCCUCUGACGUUAGCGGCGGACGGGUGAGUAACACGUGGAUAACCUACCUAUAAGACUGGGAUAACUUCGGGAAACCGGAGCUAAUACCGGAUAAUAUAUUGAACCGCAUGGUUCAAUAGUGAAAGACGGUUUUGCUGUCACUUAUAGAUGGAUCCGCGCCGCAUUAGCUAGUUGGUAAGGUAACGGCUUACCAAGGCGACGAUGCGUAGCCGACCUGAGAGGGUGAUCGGCCACACUGGAACUGAGACACGGUCCAGACUCCGACGGGAGGCAGCAGUAGGGAAUCUUCCGCAAUGGGCGAAAGCCUGACGGAGCAACGCCGCGUGAGUGAUGAAGGUCUUCGGAUCGUAAAACUCUGUUAUUAGGGAAGAACAAAUGUGUAAGUAACUAUGCACGUCUUGACGGUACCUAAUCAGAAAGCCACGGCUAACUACGU
This 496-nucleotide ribosomal RNA is filed under the name uncultured bacterium. RNAcentral describes it as "partial 16S ribosomal RNA". It matches the Rfam family "Bacterial small subunit ribosomal RNA", at positions 28 to 506 of the family's 1533-position model. The record is from RNAcentral.